RNAcentral lists this ribosomal RNA (460 nucleotides) under uncultured bacterium. Its description in RNAcentral is "partial 16S ribosomal RNA". It matches the Rfam family "Bacterial small subunit ribosomal RNA", at positions 28 to 507 of the family's 1533-position model. The record is from RNAcentral.
GACGAACGCUGGCGGCGUGCUUAACACAUGCAAGUCGAGCGGUAAGGCCUCUUCGGGGGUACACGAGCGGCGAACGGGUGAGUAACACUUGGGUGACCUGCCCUCAGCUCUGGGAUAAGCCUGGGAAACUGGGUCUAAUACCGGAAAUGACUUUUCCUCGCAUGGGGUUUGGUGGAAAGUUUUUUCGGCUGUGGAUGGGCCGGCGGCCUAUCAGCUUGUUGGUGAGGUGAUGGCCUACCAAGGCGACGACGGGUAGCCGGGGUGCGGGGGCGACCGGCCAAACUGGGAGAGAGGCACGAGUCAGGCACCUUCGGGAGGGGGCGGUAGGGAAUCGUGCGCAAGGGGCGGAAGCCUGAAGCAGCGACGCAGCGUGAGGGACGACGGCCUGCGGGUUAUAAAUCUCUUUCGACCCAGACGAAUUUGGACGGUAGCGGUAGAAGAAGCACCGGCCAACUACGUG